This 1980-nucleotide long non-coding RNA is filed under the name Homo sapiens (human). RNAcentral's name for it is "HSALNT0404341". Lineage: Eukaryota; Metazoa; Chordata; Mammalia; Primates; Hominidae. The record is from RNAcentral.
GACUGCGGACGGAUGAAUAGACGCUGCGGGUCACUGCGCUCUCCCCUGGGUGAGCAGAGCUUCUCACGCUUCUCACGGGUCUCGACGUGCGCAUCAGCUGCCCUGCUUUUCUUUGCUUUUUUUUUUUCCUUAAUUGCGGAGUCACAUGCAGUUGUAAGAAAUCAUUCACUUUGCCUAGUUUCCCCCAGUGUUACCACUUUGCAAAACUUUGCCAAAAAAAAAAGUCCAAUCUCACAACCAGGAUAUUGACUUUGAUACAGUCACCGAUCUUAUUCAGUUUUGCCGUUUUACUCGUCUUCCUUUGCAUGUAUUAGUUUUACACAAUGUAAUCAUCUGUGUACCUUCCCGUAUCCACCCCCACCUGGCCACUCCUGUGGCGAUUUUACAGCCGCACCCCGGAGCCCUGGCAUCACUAAUCUUUCCUCUAUUUCUAAAAUUGUUUUAUUUCAGAAAUGUUAUGUUUAGAUACAGGAAUCAUACAGCGCCUAAUUUUUUGAAAUUGGCUUUCUUCACUCGUUAGUCUAAUUCCCUGCAGGUUCACGUCUUGCUUUUUUACACGAGUUUCCUCUCAGAAAGUAACUUUUUUUAAAAAAUUACCCAACAGCAAAUCUAAAGUCCAUUUCAAAUGCAAGAGUUCCCUCAUCCUUUCCUAAAUAACAGCCUCUUUUUACAGGUAGAACAGAUGGUUUGAAAAGGAAAGAUUUUUUUUUCACAUAUGGGGAAAAAAAAUUCCCAGCCUUGGAAGGAUAUUUGGGUUAGAGGCCGAAGUGCAUCACAGAUCACGCACGCGUCCACACCUCAGAAAACACUCACUCAUUCCUGAGACGCAACGUCUCCGGCACACAGCUCCGCAGCUGGGGGUGACUAAGAGCCCACACCACGCAAGUAAUAAAACGCUCCAAUUUCAUUUAUUUAAUCAUCUGUGUGCUUCAUUUGACAAAUAUUUAUGGAGUGUCUGCUGCUAGCUCAGUGCCUGGUGCCUGGGACUGAAGACCAGAGCCCCCUGGAGACCAAAAGAGCCAGCUCCCAGCUGUGAGCAGAUCGGGUCCAAAGAUCACGGGCUCGGCGGCAGGAACCUGGUUUGGUAUCCGGCUCCUCUGCGGACUUUGAAGUGCUUUACCGAUUCACAUGACAACUGGUAAAACGAAAACAAACACCUUUCCAGGAAUUGUGAAUUCGAGUUCCAGACCCUCUGGGAUUCCGGGAGCGCAGCUGCUAUUUAUGUUAACAGUCAUUGGUCCCAGGCUGGUGAGGUUAGAAUUUCCAAGUAUAAAAGUAAUUUAGUUUCGUUUUAAAUACAUUUUAGGGCCAAAGAAAAGUGGAACGAUUUAAAGAAAAAGAUGAAAUGAAUAAUAGGGCAAGUUGGGAGGUGGCUGUCCUGAGGUUUCAUGGGACAACAUUAAUUAACCUCAUGAAGUGCCUGCAUGGACAACGUGCCCGGUGUGGUUACAAACAAACCAAUCAGCACAGAUCCUGGGUGGAAAGCAGGGCGCAGCCACGGAGGCACAGUAGGGGUGCAGACUUGAAGGUUUUUAGGAGGUAAGCCCCGAGGGCACGAAGCUCCACGGAGAGACUGUUGACCCGCCUGGGAGUGCAGUGCAGUCACAGCAACCUCCAAAAACCCAACUUUGCAAAGAUAUGGCAUCGUCAGAAGAAAUGGGGUGCAAUCUAAUGUUGACAGUGUGGAUGAGAGUGGGACACCUGCCAGUUGUUUGCAUCAGCAGACACUCAGAGUCCAUGGAAAAAAUGAGCCUAGAGGUUUUUAAACCACAACACAAGCAAAAGGCACCUGGUCCCGUUCCUCUUAAGACAGAAGAAAGAGGCGUAAAACCAGCUCCAGGUGCCACCCUUAAGAAAUGUUACAGUGCCGGAUGGGAAGAGUAAACCCUGAACAUCUCUUCUUAAUACUUUACAGACUUCAAGUGUAUUUUAUGGUGACAAAGCAUAUUGAAGACAAAUGAAACUCUACAACCCUGAAAA